UGCAAAUAAAUAGUACGCUAAAUAAAAACGAAAACUCAUGGUAUUGAUAUGUAAAAAUGGACUUUGGGGUGAAUAUGAUAUGCAUGUGUUUGGCAUGCAUAUAAUACGCAGUUUUCGCAUGCAUAUGACACAAAAUUUGUUGGCGUGCAUAUAAUAUGAAGGUUUUUGCAUACAUAUGACACGCAUCUACCCCACAACCCUAAACAUACCCAAUGCGUGGCAUAUACAGGCCAAAAUCCACUUUUGCAUAUCAAUACCACAAGUUCUCCUUUUUAUUUGGUGUAAUAUUUAUACGCAUGUUCAUCGGAUUGCAAUUUCAUGAAUGAAAUCAUUUUGUGAACUGGGUCAAACUGAUUUUCUAUAGUAAUUGGGUGAAUUAUUCCUUUAAUUGUAAAAGCUACAUGCAACAAACCAUGUGGUAUCACCGGAGGCGGUUAGAAUCUCUGUGUCACUGAGGAAGCGUGCACAGGACAAGUAACCUAUGAAAAACAAGAUAACAUAACUGACACUUAAUUACAAGCAUGCAAGAAAGUAAAGUGUCUUGUCUGACUUAUGUAUAUACCUGUGUGAGCAUCCAGUUCUUUCACCGUCUUGAUUACAGGUGUCUUCAAGUUGUAGACAGUACACAUGUUGUCAAGACCACCGCUGGCCACGAGGUUUCCAGAAGGAGCAUAUGCACAGGUCAUCACCCAUGAGGACUUGAGGGGAACAGCAUUGACCUAAAGAAAGAGGCAAAUAUUUGAACUUUUCCUUGAAGAGAUUCUGAUGUAAAGUUAAAGGUAGUGUCAUUUCUGAACAGUAGGCUAAAUGUAACUGCAUAAUAAUGAGGUUUUCAAAGAUGUUUUCAAGCGUUUGAUGCUUAAACAGACAGUCCUGUCGAAAACUGUCAACAACAAAUCAACACAUUGACCCAGAGGGUUUCAUUCACUAACCAUGCUAAAUUGCAUACUAUAGGUGCAAUUAUCUAAUUUUAUGCAUGGAUAUUUCAUUUACAUU
Molecule: long non-coding RNA, 996 nt
Organism: Carassius carassius (crucian carp)
Lineage: Eukaryota; Metazoa; Chordata; Actinopteri; Cypriniformes; Cyprinidae
Exons: 2
Source: RefSeq, a predicted model, not a curated record